UACGGGGGGGGCAAGCGUUGUUCGGAAUUACUGGGCGUAAAGGGCUCGUAGGCGGCCAACUAAGUCAGACGUGAAAUCCCUCGGCUUAACCGGGGAACUGCAUCUGAUACUGGAUGGCUUGAGUUCGGGAGAGGGAUGCGGAAUUCCAGGUGUAGCGGUGAAAUGCGUAGAUAUCUGGAGGAACACCGGUGGCGAAGGCGGCAUCCUGGACCGACACUGACGCUGAGGUGCGAAAGCGUGGGGAGCAAACAGG
RNAcentral lists this ribosomal RNA (253 nucleotides) under uncultured bacterium. RNAcentral describes it as "partial 16S ribosomal RNA". It matches the Rfam family "Bacterial small subunit ribosomal RNA", at positions 524 to 776 of the family's 1533-position model. The record is from RNAcentral.